UCAGUUCAGACUGCAGGCUGCAACUCGCCUGCACGAAGUCGGAAUUGCUAGUAAUCGUAGGUCAGCAUACUACGGUGAAUACGUUCCCGGGCCUUGUACACACCGCCCGUCAAACCAUGAGAGUUGGCAACACCCGAAGUCGGUAGUCUAACCGCAAGGAGGACGCCGCCGAAGGUGGGGUUGAUGAUUAGGGUUAAGUCGUAACAAGGUAAC
Molecule: ribosomal RNA, 213 nt
Filed under: uncultured bacterium
Lineage: Bacteria
Description: partial 16S ribosomal RNA
Rfam family: Bacterial small subunit ribosomal RNA
Source: RNAcentral